Molecule: long non-coding RNA, 611 nt
Filed under: Bos mutus (wild yak)
Lineage: Eukaryota; Metazoa; Chordata; Mammalia; Artiodactyla; Bovidae
Description: lncRNA (ENSBMUG00000019047.1)
Source: RNAcentral
GGCUUGAGUAAAUAUCACGUCAGCGUUUGGGACUGUGAACCCCAACCCCGGUGGCCGUUGGUGUGCUGAACUCUCCGGAGACCCGCCUGCUUUCUGCUUGUUCUUCCUGCCGUGGCUCCAGCGAUAUGCUGAGCUCUCCGGAGACUCGCCUGCUUUCUGCUUGUUCUUUCUGCCGUGCCUCCAGCGAUCUCCCCUCUGGCACCUCUGCUCAGACCACUGCUCUCUUUUUCCUGUGCUGUUCCUGCUUUGAAAUGGCAAUAAAAUUCCUUCCUUUGAUAUUUUUGCUGAGUGUGUCCGCUUGUGCAAGGUACAGCGAGGAGGAACGCCAGGCGCGUGUAAGUCCUCUUCUGCAAGAUUCGUGGGAGAGUCACGCUCUAGUGGACAGGACAUGAGCUGUGAAGGCAGACAGACCCGCGUCUUCAUUUCAGCUCGCCUCUCACUGGCUGUGUCUCCUUGGAUAAUCUGUCUUUGAGUCUUGUUUUUCUUACCUGUGAAAUAGAGAUCAUGUAUCUACUCAGGACUGCUCUGUGGCUUGGGUGAACUGAAUGAAUGGAAAAGCUCUGACUGUCCGGAGCACAGUGAGUCAUCAGGGAAGGUGAGGUGCCGUCCCC